RNAcentral lists this long non-coding RNA (690 nucleotides) under Helianthus annuus (common sunflower). RNAcentral's name for it is "sRNA HanXRQr2_Chr08g0339931". The record is from RNAcentral. Lineage: Eukaryota; Viridiplantae; Streptophyta; Magnoliopsida; Asterales; Asteraceae.
UUUGACUCUUGACAAGCUAGAUGGAGGCUUGGGGAAAGAAGCGGGUCAAACGGAUCGUAUACGCGGAAAAGAGCAUAAUCCGGAUACUAGGGGUAAAUCCAACCUAAAUCGAAAUCCAAGCACGAAUUCAUGAUCACCUCGAUGAAGGGAUCAUAAGUUUGACUCUUGACAAGCUAGAUGGAGGCUUGGGGAAAGAAGCGGGUCAAACGGAUCGUAUACGCGGAAAAGAGCAUAAUCCGGAUACUAGGUAAGUUAAAGCUUACACCUUUUAUUAACAACUAUUGGUUUUAUAGAUUAUGAAUAAUCAAAAGUCAUAUUUGACUUAUGAUGUUUUGACCCGUCAUGUGCGGUUCGGAACAAAAGACAUUAAUGAUAAACCAUGUUGAAUGAUUAAAAAGAGCUAAUAAGAUCAUUUAGUCAUGCAAUGACUAAUAAAUAACGAGUUCUAAAUGAUUACCUUGUAAGGUAAAUCAAUACAAUUAAUAAGGGUUAAAUGGUAAGGUGGUCACUAGUUGACGAUAACCGUUAGUUUUGAAGGACACUUUAUGGCGUAAGAUAUAAAGGGGUCAAAAUGAUCAAGAAAUAGAUUUAUAAGGAAAAUUGACCGUACGGUGUAAACCGGUACAAGUCAUGUAGACGAGAUGAUGAUAAAUCCAUCUCGCAAAAGUAAACGGUCAUUUAGACCAAACG